GCCAGAGGGUGCACAUUCGUCCAUCUCUGUUCUCUCGUGCUCUGCUGCAUCCCUGAACAUCCCAGUCGGGCAGCCUGAGCCAGCAUUUGGCACGAGCCAGUCCCAGCUCAACCCCCAGGUCUGUUGUUGGGGUUGGUCACGCACUUGUCGUGUGAGAUUAUUAUUGUCUGUCCUGGAAACAGCACCAGGAAUAGCAGCAGGGCUUAACACAGGCAGCCACUGCCCCAAACUGCUCCCCACGUGGGAGAUCCCCCCUUCCCCACAGGAAGGGACAUCCCAUGGAGAGGCAGUCCCUGGAUAACUGGGCCUGGGGUCUCCAGGACCUGUCCCAGGGUGGCAAAUCCCCCAGGGCUGCAGGGACCAGGCUCAGCCCCGGGAUGGGACUCACAGGGUGGCUGCUGCCUUAGUGUGGUGGCAGAGCUAAAAGCAGCAGAGGGAACCAGUCUGGCUUCCUCUGGGGUUAGUAAAGCUCCUGUUGAUCCCAGUGCUGAAGGAAAAGGCCUGGAGUAUCCAGCUGGAUCAUUGUGAUGGCAGAGGCAGAGCAGGGACCUCUCCCUGUGCCAAAGAUGCUCGUGAGAAACUCAAUCCCUGCCUCGGGGAGAUGGUUAUUGUAACAUCUCUCUUUGCCCGAGGACAGUUCUCUUCCUCCUUUUAAGUUAUUAACAUGGAAUUAUCAAUGCCCAUAAUCUGGUUUGUUGUUAGCUCCUAGCAGGGCUCACAGCACAUGGAUUUCCAAAGGAUUCAGUACAAACAGGAGCAGAUUGAUGCCCAGGACUGAGGCAGAGGAUGAAUCAGCACUAUCUGAGGCACAGAUUUAAGGAUGAUGGGGGUACCAGCAGCACUUGGAGGAGCAGUUCAGGGGCAUGGGUGGAUGUGUAGCUCUGACACACAGUCAGGAGACCAGCAGCUGCAGGAAAAGGAGGAUGGAUUCAGGACACACCUGGCCUGGAACAACCUGAAACCCAGUGUGCAGCCAGACCAGUGAAUAAAAGGUCACGGGAGGAGGCUGGGAUUGCCACUCUGAAUUCCUGAACAGCAGAAGCCACAGGACUUAAUUCUCCCUUUCAGCAAGACACCCAGGCUCAGCUUAAAUAUUUCCACUGCUGGGGGAUCCAACCCAGUUCUUGAUAAAUUGCUCCAAUGGCCAAUUACCCUCAUUCCUGAAAACCUCAGUCUAUUCUGAGUUGAAUUUAUCCAGCUUCAUCUUUCAGGAACUGGAUGUGAUCUUUGUCUCCCAGGUUGCAGAGCCUCUUUUGGUCAAGCUGCUGCUCCUGUGACGCUGUGCUUUGGGUGUGGAGUGGGUGGAUUUGUUGUUGGGGAAGUCCAUGGAGCUGCCUCCCAUCACUGGCUCUGCUUGAGGGUGAGAGAAGAGAGGAUGAGGCUCCUCAUCACCCCUGAGUGCUGCACCCUCACACAGCCACCUCAAACUGCUUCAAAACGAGAACAUUAUUUUGCUUUGCAAUAGUGGGAGAAAAAAAAAAAAAAGAGAAGCCACCAAAGGCCAAGACUUCCAGAACAGGAUUCAGUGAGUAAUUUUUAGAGUGGUCAGUGCCUGCCCUACCCUCUGUGGUCAGCUGAGACCUGAGCACUCAGCCCUGGGAGGGCUCCUCAGCCACGUGAGCAGAUUCCAGGAUUACUAUUUAAAAGCUCAAAACCCCGGAGUCAGCUCCUCCCCCGAGUCUAAAGAUUAAAAAAAAAAAAAAAAGUCAAAUUUCUCUGCUUGCUGUCUGGGUUUUUGAACUUCUGCUCUUCAUAUUUUCAACCACAAAAAUCCAGAAACCUCAUGUUUUAAUGGAAAGGGAGACUUGUAAUCUGAUAACAUAACCCCAGGGGCUGUGUGUAAAAACUCCAGGGCUUGUAUGAACAGGCCAUUCCAAGAGCUUAAAGCACAUCCAGAGCAAAACCAGGAAUAAAAUGUGACCCCUGUUCUCUGGAUGUGCUCAACAUGAAAUGUUUACUUCCUAUUUUAGCUUGCUGGCAUCCUUCACUUGCCACAGCCCUGCCUGCCUCUGCUUCAUGGGAAGGAUGCUGUGUUGGGAAAGAAAUCCCCAAGGAAGUUCUUUGCCUGGAUGGUUGGUUGAACCUCCCCAGCAUGGCAGAGAUGCCCCAGCUACAAGGAACCAUCUCAGCACACAAAGGAAACAACAAUCUGGGCUGGAGGAAGUCACUGAAACCCUGAGUGAACCUUGAGUGCAUGGGGAAAUGGGUCUGAUGCUUUGGCUCAGCCUGACCUGGAAACCUGCUCCUGGUGUGUCACAACCACAGCCUUGACAGGUGGAAGCAAAAUGAGCAGUUCAAGUGACAAGAGCAAGAUCACCUUGCAGACCCUGAUCCACUUGUCUGUGAAGAGAUCAGGGUGUUGGAUCAGGGCCUUGAGAACAGCAGUUUUAGGGCUGACAGCAGCAAAUGCGUGCAAGAUUCUGGGAACAGGAUCUCAGAUUUAACUGAAUUGAAUUCCAGAGUGGAAGCAAGUGACCUUUCCUGCUCAGGGCACAGAGAGGUGCUGUGAGUGACACAGAAGCCGAGGAAGGUUUAGGAAGGAGCAUUUAUUGAAGCUGCAAGGGGCAGCCUGAUACUGCAAAGGAUGUUUAUUUUCCCAGAUCAAGUUGAAAACUCACAGCAGCUUCCUGCAGUUUAUGGAAUUAAAUUCUUGGACCAGGCUCAGAAACACCAGACUGAGAAGAAACAUUUAGCAAAGGUCAGUCACAACUAUUUACAAGGGGUGUACACGUGACACAGUAAAACUUGCACUGAAAUAAACCCCCCAGCCCCUCUCCCAGAAGGUCCCAUUUGGAUGCUGAACUGCUUUGAAAUUGUUCUGCCGAAAACUUUCUCGACACCAAUGUGCUCCAAAAAGUUUCCAUUACGCUGAAACUGCAUUUCCCAUUGGAAACCUCUUUGGUUCAAGCAUUUCCUUGUCUCUGCUGAUGCUUCCUGGGUUCGUGCCCUGCCCCAGGAUUGUUCUCUCUGUGACCAGCAUGUGACAAGGCUUAAAUAAGUAAUGAUUUGUGAUGUGCCUUGAUACCCUCUGAUAAAAGCUGCCCAGAGCACUGUGCGUUACAGUGCCGUGAUUUCUCUACCUAUUUCUUCAGAAUGCAUUAAAUGUGUGGGUGCUCCAGUUAUUAUUUCCUCUAACAGUUGAUAUUUUAACCUGCUGUAUUUUUAUCUUGGCUGCAUUAUAUAACAAGUUAUGCUGGUGUCAAUCUGGAAGCUCCAGCACAGUCAGUAAAGCUAAUCCAGUUUAACACAAGCCUUAG
Long non-coding RNA from Neopelma chrysocephalum (saffron-crested tyrant-manakin), 3257 nucleotides. RefSeq lists it as uncharacterized. The record is from RefSeq and is a predicted model, not a curated record. The transcript has 3 exons. NCBI's taxonomy places the organism in Eukaryota, Metazoa, Chordata, Aves, Passeriformes, Pipridae.